UCCUCUGUUUUAUUGUCAGAGGUCGGGCCUGCCCUGUGCUACACGUUAACGGCCGCAGUAUUUUGACUGUGCAAAGGUAGCAUAAUAAUUUGGCCUUUAAUUGGGGUCUGGAAUGAACGGUUUGACAAGGGUUUGACUGUCUCAGUCUAGGACAAAGAAAUUGAACUGUCUGUUAAAAUGCGGACAUAUAUAAGAGGGACGAAAAGACCCUAUAGAUCUUUAAACUUUGGUUAAGGCUUGGACAAGGCUUAAAAGUUUUUGUUUGGGAUGAAACUAAAAAUUUAACUUGAGUUAAUUUGAAAGCAGUGCAGCUUACCAUCGAUCCGUUAAGCGAUAGAACGAAAAAGAUACCUUAGGGAUAACAGGACAAUAAUGCUUUAGAAGGUCUUAUUUUAAAGAAUGAUUGUUACCUCGAUGUUGAAUUAAGGGGACCAUAGCUUGCAGCAGGGCGUUUGGUUGGUCUGUUCGACCAGUAAUUCC
Molecule: ribosomal RNA, 480 nt
Filed under: Goniodes colchici
Lineage: Eukaryota; Metazoa; Arthropoda; Insecta; Psocodea; Philopteridae
Description: partial 16S ribosomal RNA
Rfam family: Bacterial large subunit ribosomal RNA
Source: RNAcentral